CAACCGGUCCAGAUAAGUGCUGCGUCUCUGGGCAAUUAUCGCCUUCCUGCCGCCACCGGGGCUGGCCGGGCAGAAAGCCAAAGGCCAAGGGACUCGCAGCCACCCAAGGAGAGCGGGACCCGCCGGUGGGGCCAGGCACCACCGCCACGCGGUUUCACAACGCCGGGACGCGGGAAGCGGCGAGCGGGGAGGCGGCGCGGCGCGAUGACGUCACGCGCAGGCCGGCGCCCGAGUCCCCCGCCCCUGAGCGGGGGGCUGGCCGGGGAAAGCCGGCGUGCUGCCAGCGCCCUGCCAGGUAGCUGGGGGCGAGGCGUCCUGUUCUUCCUUCCUCCUCCUUCUUUCUUCUCCACUUCCUCCCUUGCCUCUCUUCAUCUCGUUUCCCUUUCAUCCCUUUCUCCUUCCCUCCUUCCUUCCUUCCUCCCCUCCUCUCUUCUUCCUUCGUUUUCUUCCCUCCCUUCACCCUUCUCCGUCCACCGCUUCCUUCCUCCUCACCUUCCUCCCCUCUCUCCUUCCUACCUCUCCUUUAUCCUUUCUUUACUUAAAAAAAAAAAUAAUUUUCUAAGAUCUGUUUUUAAUUGUGGCAAAAACAAAUAACAUACAGUUUAUCAUUUUAGGUGUACAGUGGUGUUAAGCACACCCGCAUUGCUGUACAGCCCAUCUCCAGGACUUUUCCAUCUUGCAAAAUUGACACUGUAGCCAUCAAAUAACAACUUCUUUCCUCCUCCCCUUCCCAGUCCCUAGGAACAACAUUCUGCUUUCUUUUCCUUCAUUUCUUCCUUUUACCUUUUUGUGCCUUUCUUUUCCUUUAUUUCUCUGCUUUCGCCCCUCCCUCUUUCCAUCUUCCCCUCUUUCUUUCUUUUUUCUUGAAAACCUGAUGGUCCUUGCCAGCAUUCUACAGUCCGUGCCAGGCGUCAGGCCAAGAGACCUGUCAGUGAGGCUGUUACAGGUCUGGUGAGGAAACUGAGCUUCAGAAAGGUGAAGGGAUUUGCCUAUGGCUAUGGAGCAGGCCCUAGGUUCCAUAUCCCGUAGUACCAGCUCCAUUUUACACAUGAAGAAAUGGAAGUUCAGAGAGACAAAGUGACUUGCUCAAUGUCACACAGCUGGUCCUGGACUGACAGCCUUUCUGACUUCCCAGUUGGCAUUCCCGCCUCCAGCCCCACCUUACUCCAGCCCAACCCCACGUCAGCUUGGGAGAACCUUCCUCACAAUAACUGGAGAAGCAACGACUGGAAGACCUGGCUAAAAAUUGGUCCUGGACAAGGCUGAGCUGCUACCAAGCUGAUCCAAAGACAAGAACCAGGCUGACAAGCCUGAAACACUCUGUUCCAGCCAUCAGAAGCAACACUGAACAGAGAGAUGAAGAAAUCGAGGCCCAAAUUGAGAAUGUGAUUUGCGCAAAGUCACUCAGGCACACAUGGCAGAACCAGGUCCAGGAAGCCAAGUUUUCUAAGACGUUGUUCCUUACUGCGUGUGGCACAGAGGUUUGUUUUGACAGCGUGACUGACGACAAUGAAGUGCUUUCCGCCGAUUUCUCUUAGUGUUUGUUAACAUCUUUAUUCAUCCUUUUACAGUGUUCUUAGAGUUGGCCCACUCCAUUAUUCUUAGAAAGAAAAAUAAUUAUUUUCAUUAUAAAAAUUCUCAUCACAUACAAUUUGGGAUAUACAGGGGGAAAAAAGAGCAAUAUGAAAACAACUUUCAUCAUCCUCACAAAGUUUCUUCUAGCUUUCUAGCAUUUUCUUCUAGUCCUUCCUGCUUUCUAUGCAUGGUUAUUUCUUUGUGGGUUAAACACUUGGGAUAAUUAUUCCUAUUAACACAUAUGAUUGCCAAUGCACAAUCAUCUUUAUUGAUCUGUAAAUGCCAUCUUCUCUUCUGUUCUAAUCCCUGUGCUUUCCUUUUACAAGAUGAGUUUGGUCCAUCUUGUGCUGGAGAGUCAGGCAGUGCUCAAAGAAGUGAUGGGGGCAUGUCAAAAAGAUACGGAAAUCAGCCUGAAGUGGCUCCCAUCAGCCAAAUCUGGGAUAAUUCAAGCAUCAAAAUAGUCAUGAAAAUAAGCCAUUAAAAAAUAGGAAUCUCUGAAUCGCUGUGAUGAUAGAUCAGUAGUAAGUGGAUUAAUACUGAGGAAGAGGCUCUUGCUUCCAGUAAAAUGCCAGCCGAUCAACACGAAGGGAGUUUUAGGGCUGGAAGAUCGUUUCGCAGCCAUCAUGGUAAAGCUUGGCUUAAAUAAGAAUCGUCAUUCUGGAAGGAGCUCCUCAAGGUGAAAUGAAAGGCUGCCGGUUUGUGACGUGAAGACGUAUAAAAAUAGAAACCAAACUUCAGGGUGAGUGUGCAGCUCCCAGGAGGACUCUCUGUGGUCAUCAUGAGACCCUCUUAUCUGUUCUAAGUGAAAACUGAUGGAUACGUUUCGAUUCUGCUAUGUGUGUGCUUGUUGUUUGCUCUCUGCCGUGUCUCUGGAUUUGAGAGGAGGGAACUAGAGUGUUGGGUGUUUUCACCUCUCCUAGAGCAAGGCGGCCAAAUCACCUUUCUGCCGUCCCUGCUCAUUCAGAUGCCACUCCUCCCCGUCACAGUGUCAAACUUGUUGCCCUGUUGUUUUAUCUGUAAUGGCAGGUAAAAAGAAAGAAGACACCUCCUCUUGGAUCAUGGCAAACAUUUAUGAGAAGCCUCCAAGCUGUUUUCUAGUCCCCUACAACUUGGACAGAAUGAAGUCCAAGUCAGAGAAGCAAAUAUUUGAGAGUUACAUGUGGGCUUAGGGAAUGUUUAUCCAAUCUGGGUAAGAAUCAUUUGUCACUAAAAGGCUCCACACACCCUACCCCCAUCACCGUGUCACCUUGCAGAAGGUCAAGUGGCCUUAUGCACGAGGCUCAUGCUCUGCAUUCUUCAUCAAGGGGCAUAGAGGGGUGGGUGAAUCACUGCUGUCACAAGCCAGUAGUCAGGAGGGGAUUAAGAGUAGAAGCCCGCCUUUUCAGGGGGAAUUCAAAUAUGCCAUACCCUUUCUCCAAAGGCCAAACAGCAGAGGGCUAGGGUCUGUGUCCAUUUGGGGCAGAGCUUUAGAAAAAGAAACAGGUGAACUGAGGUCUAGACAUCAUUAAGAUGAGUGGUCUCAAGCGACAGUUAAACAGUAUAGUAUGGUUUAUCACAUCAGUCUCCUCAGCCUGCUCAAGAGAAAAGAGGUCUCUCCAGAGGGCCAAGAUCCAGCCCCAGCUCAGCUCCUGACUUGCUGGGUAAUCUUGGGCUGGUGACUUGCCGUCUGAGGCUCUCAAGUUCCUCAUCUAUAAAAUUAGGAAUGGAGUAAGUAAUGCCUAAGUUGGCACUUGAUUCUUUUUUUGGAACCCACAUGAUGACUCUGAGAUGGGUAUGAAAAAGAACAUCACCCCCAUCUUACAGAUAAAAAAACUGAGGCUCGCCAAGUGGAAGAAUUGAGGCCAAAGUUGUAGUGGACAUAAAUAGCUCUGAAUUCCCUAACUUUGACAUUCUUUCCAUUGCAAUGACAACCCUAUUGCAUAGUUGCCAUCAGAAUUUUUGUACUUGGAACAAUUGUGGGUGAGGGAACAGUAUGGGCAGAGACCCAGAAUCCUGUCUUUGUAACCGAGACACAUCUGUCUCCACUUAAUGCUCACUACUUUCUCUUUAGGGGUUUAAAAAAUUGGCUUAUCGAUGUUUUGUAACCUUGGUUUUCCAUCAGCAGUGAAGGAAGAUACCAUGGCAGGCAGUCAGAAAUAACCCUGGAAUGACAAGAAUGUAGCCAUCUCUCUUAGGCAUGUCAGCAAAAGAUGCACCAGGCUGAUUCCAAGCAGAGAAAGGCUGAGCUGAGAGGCACCUGCCAGAGGCCAUGUGAGCAGCAGUGACAUUAGCCCAUAGGAUGGGGACUCUCUAGGCAGCCACAUACCAGUUGGGAGCUUCACCCAUGUCAACUCAUCAAAUCCUCACAGCAGUCCCAGACGUGGGACACAUCAUCAUCCCCAUUUCACAGAGGAGAAAACCAAGGCCCUCCAAGGUUGUAGAACUUGCCCAGAAAGUCUCCAGGUAUGUGUUGGAACUGGGAAGGAAUCUGAUCCAAAUCUGUCUGUCUUCAAGGAUAAGGUCUGUUUUCAUAACCUUAUAGCACACGCUACCUUCCAGAUUACUUAGGGAUAAUUGCAAGAUUCUGUAGACACACACACACACACGAUUAAAUGGCCACUUAGAACCACUAAUAGUGGAUGCCUCUGUGGAGGAAGACUGGUAGCUUGUGGGUAUAAAAAGAAGGGAGAUUUCCUACUAACCAUAAAUGUUUUACCCUUCUAAAAUUUUGAAACAUAUGCAUAUAUCACUAAUUCAAAAUGAAUUUAUUUAUUUUAAGAUUUUAUUUAUUUGUUAGAGAGAGAGAGAGCUUAAGCUGGGGGAGUGGCAGGCAGAGGGAAAAGCAGACUCUUUGAUGAGCAAGGAGCCCAACACGGGACUCCAUCCUAGGACCCUCAGAUCAUGACCUGAACCAAAGGUAGAUGCUUAACUGGCUGAGCCACCAAGAUGUCCCUCAAAAUGAAUUUACAUUUAACAAAAGGUUACCUAGUAUAUUGGUUUCCUGUGGCUGCUAUAACAGAUUUCCACAGCCUGGGGCUUCAAACAAUAGAAGGUUUCUCCUCACAGUUCUGGAGGUCAGAAGUCUGAAAUCAAGGUGGUUCAGGGCUGUAUUCCUGUCCAAGCUCUUGGGGGGAAUCCAUUCCUUGCCUCUUCCAGUUUCUGGUGGCUUCGGAUAUUCCUUACUCAUGGUACGUCACUCCCAACUCUGUGGUCAUAUUGCUUCUUUCUUCCCUUCUCUGCACAUGUGUCUUAUAAGGUUACGUGAGGCCGCGUGUAGGGCUACCCUAAUCCAGGGUAAGUUCUUCUCAAGAUCCUUGACUUAUUCACAUCUUUAGUCAUGUAAAGUCAUGUUCAGUCUUUUGCUAUAUAAGGUAAUACUCAUAGUAGCAGGGGUUAGGGUGUGGACAUAUCUUUUGGGGGCCACCAUUCCACCCAUUAUGGCUAGGAAUUAGCAGGUGAAUCUCCACCCCUUCCUGUCUGAUGUUGUUUCCCCCCAGUGUAUUGCUCUGGGUAAGACACUGGAGUCUGAACACUGCAGCUGUAGCUCUGAAGCUCGUUGAGAGUGUUUCUGUGGCCUUCUUGGAGAGUUAUGUGCACAAGCUUGGAAGUCAGCCUGGGCGGGUUCUAAUAGCCCCUCCAUUUGUCACCCGGGGGACCCUUCGGAAAACAAAUAUGCCAGUUUUGCUGGUGAUAUUACUAAAGUACAAUUUUGAUAUGUGUAAUGAUAUUACAGCCCUUCCUUUAGGCCCUCAAUGGCUCCUCAGUGGAUGCCCUAAUGCUCGAGGCCUCCGGAUGAUUCCUCUGCUCCGGCCCUAUGCCCCAGGUGUGUUUAUCUCAGGAUACUAUGGACUCACCUAGCUUUUCCUACUUCUUGCUUGUGCUCCUCCCCUGCCUAGAUUUCCUUUUUUUCUCACAUCCGUGUGUUGAAACCCCUCUCAUCCUUCAAGGCUUAAUGAAAUGCCACCUCUUCCACAAAGUCUUUGUCUUCAUCUGCAUGAAAUCUCUCCUUCCAUUCAUUCCUCCCUUGGCCCUCUGCAUCUCCUGCACCAGAGACACACCAGACUUGGCUUUGUAUGGCCUGGAGGCCCCUUGUGAACUGUGGCUCCUUGCAGGCAGGAAAUGUGUCUUGGGCACUGUGGGAGACGGGCACAACACUUGCCAGAAGGAAAGUGUUCAGUGCUGUUUGUUGAGUUUAUAUAAAAACAACAGAGACCAUACCAGAACAGCCCCUCCGUGGUUGUGUGCUCAAAAUCCUUGGUUUUAUGGAUGAGGAAACUGUGACCCAGUCUCAGGUGGGAAAUUACGUAUUUUCAGCCUUCUCUUUCAAGACAACCUGAAUGAUUAGAACAAAAGAUUGAAAGUUUCCAUUUGGGGCCCUAUUAGCUGCUGGCUUGGGAAAAUAUAUUUCUUUGUAAUGCUGUCAAGUGGCAAAGGGUGUGCCUUUCAUGGUAAAGUCUCCCUGCUUCAAAGAGACGAUUGUGAACUGUUUGGUCUCUUUCUCACCGUUCUCUGGCUGUCACGGGCGCAUCCCAGCCCUGGUCUCUCACAUGGCCUGGUUAGAACGCUCUUUUAACUCCACUGUAUUAUUCUUCUAACCUGCCUUUCCUCAGAGGGAAGCCCGACUUGCCCUCCAGGUUCGACGUUCUGGAGCUGUUUUUGAGAGCCCAACUCUCCCAGGGAAAACACAGGAGACGAAUGAAAGCCGCCCCCCGUGCAGCAAAUCCUUCUGGUUGUGUGAAACCUCAGAAGGUAAAGCAGUCUUCUUCAUUGCGUCUUUGUCGUCUGGCAGCGUGUAAAGAAGGGCGAAGCAGAAAGGCAAACCCGAACACCUGUGGCCUUUAUGAAAACCAAAGCCACCUCCCGCCCUGCGCGGUUUGUGUUCUCAACCUGCAGCAUCUGUCAGCCUCCGAUGAAAACCCAGCAGUGGGGGGACCCCGAACCCGGGCUCAGACGAGCUGACUGAGGAAUUAGAAGGAUUUUGCCAUAAGCCCAUUAAUUCUGUCUGAUUGAAAUAUCUUCCAAUUCCACGCGGCCAAGGACAGCUGCACUUUUGUCUCACAUUUUCCAUGGUGUUUUACGCCUGCUUGGAAACAGGGGUGUGGGUCUUUACAGAAAGGUGGAAGGGCCGGAGAUGUGGACCCCAGAGAGAGGGGGCUCCGCAGCUGCCACUUACCAGCCAGAGGGGGGCUUGGCUACACCACUGAAGCCUCCAAGUCUCAACUACCUUAGAUGCUGUAUUUUACCAGGAGUUCACUCUCUAAGGUCAUGUACAGUUGUUCAUUUAUCACCAGGUUGGGAGAAAAGGGAAAGCAAAACUUCAUGGUUGAAGGAAGGCCAUUUAUCUCAAUUUUCUCUGUAACAAAAUUGACCUUGGCCCUUUGACCUACUUCGGGACCUGGCGAAGGCAUGGUCUGAGCACCUGCGGUAGGAGGAGCUGGUGGGGAGACCCAAGUAGACUCAGCUAUGGAGACUGGACACUGCUGGGACCAAGAUGCUACUUCACUGACUCAGGGUCAUCAUCUAAGACAGGCCCGCAGUCCUCCGCAUUCAGUAAGCAGCACUCUUGUUACUCCUUCUGGAACCCCAAAACUGAAACCACCAACAGCCCUUGGAAUGCGGAGAGACACCUUAAAUCAUUCUCUUUGUUUAUACAUUCCUCAAGUAUAAAAACAAAUGCUAUUCAUAUCCAGGUGCCCCCUCAAAAAAACAAAAACAAAAACAAAAAAAACCAAAUGCUAAUAUUCUUGCUAUAAUUUUAAAUCAAUAAAGAGACAACAAAGGAUCGCAAUGAUGUAAAAACUAUGCAUAAAAGAAAAGACAAAUGUUGAUUAAUAGUGGUUGUAUUUAAGAGAUAAUGGGCUUUUUUCAGCUUUUGUAUGUAUUUUUUAAAAACUUAAAAGGGGGGAUGCCUGGGUAGUUCAUUUGGUUAAGCAGCUGCCUUCUGCUCAGGUCAUGAUCCCAGUGUCCUGAGAGCAAGUCCCACAUCAGGCUCCUUGCUCGGCAGGAAGCCUGCUUCUCCCUCUGCCUCUGCGUGCCACUUUGCCUGCCUGUGCGCCCACACUCUCUCUUUCUGACAAAUAAAUAAAAAAUAAAAUCUUUUAAAAAAAUACUUAAAAGCAUUCAUCAAUUACUCUUAUUAUAAAAAAGGGUCCUAUUCAGAAAUAUUUUAAUGCCCCAAAGGGAAAGUUCAUUUAUAUUAUAUUUUCAUGAAAAUUACAUAUAUAACUUUGAUAAAAAUUAACGAUAGCAUGCUAUAAUACUGAAAAUUUUGGAAGAUGCUUUAUGAAUAUUAAUAGAGACCAAGUCUGUGUCACUCAGUGAGUGCA
Mustela lutreola (European mink) is the source of this 7880-nucleotide long non-coding RNA. RefSeq lists it as uncharacterized. The record is from RefSeq and is a predicted model, not a curated record. NCBI's taxonomy places the organism in Eukaryota, Metazoa, Chordata, Mammalia, Carnivora, Mustelidae. The transcript has 6 exons.